UGGCGGCGUGCCUAACACAUGCAAGUCGAGCGGGGACGUUGCGACUGAGUUGAAGACUUCGGUCGGAGAUGAAGAUGUAAAGUUCUAGCGGCGGACGGGUGAGUAACGCGUGAGCAACCUGUCCCUUACAGGGGGAUAACACAGCGAAAGUUGUACUAAUACCGCAUGAGACCACAGAGUGACAUCAUUCAGGGGUCAAAGGAGCAAUCCGGUAAGGGGUGGGCUCGCGUCCGAUUAGAUAGUUGGUGAGGUAACGGCCCACCAAGUCGACGAUCGGUAGCCGACCUGAGAGGGUGAUCGGCCACAUUGGGACUGAGACACGGCCCAAACUCCUACGGGAGGCAGCAGUGGGGAAUAUUGGGCAAUGGGGGGAAACCCUGACCCAGCAACGCCGCGUGAGGGAAGAAGGUUUUCGGAUCGUAAACCUCUGUCCUUGGUGAAGAGGAAGAGACGGUAGCCAAGGAGGAAGCCCCGGCUAACUACGUGCCAGCCGCCGC
Molecule: ribosomal RNA, 497 nt
Filed under: uncultured bacterium
Lineage: Bacteria
Description: bacterial SSU rRNA
Rfam family: Bacterial small subunit ribosomal RNA
Source: RNAcentral